GAAACGGAUGCUANUACCAGCAUACGCCCUACGGGGGAAAGCGGGGGAUCUUCGGACCUCGCGCUAUUGGAUGAGCCUAAGUCGGAUUAGCUUGUUGGUGAGGUAAUAGCUCACCAAGGCGACGAUCCGUAGCUGGUCUGAGAGGACGACCAGCCACACUGGGACUGAGACACGGCCCAGACUCCUACGGGAGGCAGCAGUGGGGAAUAUUGGACAAUGGGCGCAAGCCUGAUCCAGCAAUGCCGCGUGUGUGAAGAAGGCCUGCGGGUUGUAAAGCACUUUCAGUAGAGAAGAAAAGCCUAGGGUUAAUACCCCUGGGUCUUGACGUAACCUACAGAAGAAGCACCGGCUAACUCCGUGCCAGCAGCCGCGGUAAUACGGAGGGUGCGAACGUUAAUCGGAAUUACUGGGCGUAAAGCGCGCGUAGGCGGCUCUGUAGUCGGAUGUGAAAGCCCUGGGCUUAACCUGGGAAUGGCAUUCGAUACUGCAGAACU
This 494-nucleotide ribosomal RNA is filed under the name uncultured bacterium. Its description in RNAcentral is "bacterial SSU rRNA". It matches the Rfam family "Bacterial small subunit ribosomal RNA", at positions 153 to 642 of the family's 1533-position model. The record is from RNAcentral.